Molecule: transfer RNA, 68 nt
Filed under: Babina holsti (dagger frog)
Lineage: Eukaryota; Metazoa; Chordata; Amphibia; Anura; Ranidae
Also listed under: 1 other name
Description: transfer RNA-His
Rfam family: tRNA
About the family: Transfer RNA (tRNA) molecules are approximately 80 nucleotides in length. Their secondary structure includes four short double-helical elements and three loops (D, anti-codon, and T loops).
Source: RNAcentral
GUAAAUAUAGUUUAGUAAAACUCUAGAUUGUGAUUCUAGCAACAAAGGUUAAACUCCUUUUAUUUACC